Molecule: non-coding RNA, 72 nt
Organism: Megalops atlanticus (tarpon)
Lineage: Eukaryota; Metazoa; Chordata; Actinopteri; Elopiformes; Megalopidae
Source: the annotation of a GenBank genome assembly
GGCUGGGUAGCACAGUGGUAAGGAGCAGGGCUUGUAACCAAAAGGUUAGUGGUUCUAUUCCCUGCUGGGUCA